This is a long non-coding RNA of Artibeus jamaicensis (Jamaican fruit-eating bat), 363 nucleotides long. RefSeq lists it as uncharacterized. The transcript is spliced from 4 exons. The record is from RefSeq and is a predicted model, not a curated record. NCBI's taxonomy places the organism in Eukaryota, Metazoa, Chordata, Mammalia, Chiroptera, Phyllostomidae.
CUCGAAGAAGCUUCGGAGAAGCCCACUUGCCUAAGACGCCUGUCUCCGAGAUGGCUGAAGGCGGGAGGUCCAGGGAAGGACUCCGAGGCCCAGUGAUUUAGCUGCAUCACCAAAUCUAAAAGUCUGGUUUCCUGAAUGACCAUGUGGAGGUCUUAGCUUCUAGCGCAGCUUCUAACAAUUUCAAAUGGAGAGUGAUGCAUGAAUUUGUAAGAUAAGACACGCAAGACCCUUCAAGAAACGUUUGAUACUGAGUACAUUCUACAAGCCUCCUCUGCCGCAGGAUUCUCAAGGGUGGCAGCCAUCCUCUGUCUGAGGUUGAAGGAUUCAUACCAUUUAAGUGUCUGAACUCAUCAUGAAUUUCAU